UGUUAAAAUUUUUAUUAUAUAGUUAAAAAUUAGGCUAACUGAUAGAAUAACCAAACAAUAACACGUGGCAUGCUAUUUGUACCUCAUACUGAUAUAUAAAGAUCGGUUUUUAACAACAAAAUGGAUGGAAAUUUUAAUA
This 139-nucleotide microRNA precursor is filed under the name Gossypium hirsutum (cotton). RNAcentral describes it as "MIR7502 microRNA precursor family". It matches the Rfam family "MIR7502 microRNA precursor family". The record is from Rfam by way of RNAcentral. Lineage: Eukaryota; Viridiplantae; Streptophyta; Magnoliopsida; Malvales; Malvaceae.